This 177-nucleotide ribosomal RNA is filed under the name Triticum aestivum (bread wheat). Its description in RNAcentral is "partial small subunit ribosomal RNA". The record is from RNAcentral. Lineage: Eukaryota; Viridiplantae; Streptophyta; Magnoliopsida; Poales; Poaceae.
AUGUACCCUGUAGCAUGGGCUUUUGUGGAAAAAGAAACUAGAGAGACAUGGAAGUGUUUUAUUGGGCUGCUAAUCAAGGAUUUGGAUAUCAAUGAUCAAGGAGAUGGUAAUUUUGUCUACAAGUUUCUUAGUAUGUUUCAUUAUUUGUUCCAUGUGUUAAUGUUGCACUUGUUUUAA